This 1909-nucleotide unclassified non-coding RNA is filed under the name uncultured fungus. RNAcentral's name for it is "sequence contains 18S rRNA gene, ITS1, 5.8S rRNA gene, ITS2, 28S rRNA gene". The stretch from base 777 to 1909 matches the Rfam family "Eukaryotic large subunit ribosomal RNA", at positions 1 to 961 of the family's 3401-position model. Lineage: Eukaryota; Fungi. The record is from RNAcentral.
GGAAGGAUCAUUAUCACGUAUCCACGUAUAAACCACUGCGAACUGUUUCCCUUUGGAGGUUCUAGGUUUGGCUUGAUCAAUCUUUCCAAUGUCGUGAUGGGAAAGCGGUCUAUGCCGUGAAAGGCACUUCGGUGUCUCUCCGCCUGAAUCUUUGAAGCGGUUAUUCAUCACGUCUCCAAUUUAACAUUAACCCCUUUAAACUUUUUGAACUGAAACUUAAGCGUGAUGUAAAGUCUACCUUCGGGUUCACUUGAUCAUGUCUUUACUUACGAAAUUACGAACAAUUCUUAACAACGGAUAUCUUGGCUCUGAUAACGAUGAAGAACGCAGCGAAAUGCGAUACGUAAUGCGAAUUGCAGAACUCAGUGAAUCAUCAAAUCUUUGAACGCAAAUGGCGCUCUCGGGAUAGGCCUGGGAGCACGCCUCUUUGAGUGUCGAUUCAAUCAAACUCAGCGACCUGCUCUUUAUUGGUGCGGGCGCAGCUGAAUAUUGAGUGUCUCACGAAAGUGGGUCACUUUAAGCGGAGCGAGUCUCCUUUUUUCUAGCACUUGUAAAGCUUCGGCUUUGCAUAGCCUAGGAUGAGUUUUGCAUUGCAAACUCGUGCCUACUAGUGAUGCGGAUAAUCACAUCUGUGUGUUCCAUCAUGACUGGUAGGAGCGGGAUUCAGAGCAAACGGCUUUAGUGUCCGACUCUUCCUUGUGCGAACCUGCAUGAGAAAUGUGCAAGACAGAUCGGGGGCCGGCAGUAAUGUCUGGCUUCCAACACCUCUUUGACUUAGACCUCAAAUGAAGCGAGACAACCCGCUGAACUUAAGCAUAUCAUUAAGCGGAGGAAAAGAAACUAACAAGGAUGCCCUUAGUAACGGCGAGUGAAGCGGGCAAAGCUCAAACUGAAAAUCGGGUCUCCACACGGGGAUUCGAAUUGUAGUCUAUAGACGUAGCGUCAGUAGUGACCCAGGUAUAAAUCUUUUGAAACAAGGUAUCAUAGAGGGUGAGAAUCCCGUCUUUGACUUGGAGUUCACUGCGUACGACCUGCGCUCAAAGAGUCGAGUUGCUUGGGAUUGCAGCUCUAAUUGGGUGGUAAAUUUCAUCUAAAGCUAAAUAACGAUCAGAGACCGAUAGCGAACAAGUACCGUGAGGGAAAGAUGAAAAGAACUUUGAAAAGAGAGUUAAAAAGUACUUGAAAUUGUUAAGAAGGAAGCGCUGGAAACCAGUCGUGCCGGUUGGCGUAUCAGCCUCUCUGUGGGAUGGAUGCAGUAAGCCGAGAGCCUUAAACCUCGGUCUAUGCGGAAGUUUCAUGGUAAGGACGCGCGUCAGCUGGUGAGUCAGAAUCGUUUUGUUUCGCGUGAGAAAGCUUGCGGGAAGGUAGGUUAGCGGGGGCAACUCCAAUGACUGUUAUAGCCUGUGAGUCCUAGCGCGGAGCAGAUCGAGGAUUUCAACACGCACCACUAGGUUCGAUUCCCUGACCCUGAGUUGUUAGCUGCGUUGGAUAGUAAAACUAUGCUCGUAGAGAAGCGAUUUACUGGAAAGGAUGAAUCAGAUGCAGUGUUCGGGAUUCUGACGAAAUGGUUUUCAUCGACCCGUCUUGAAACACGGACCAAGGAGUCUAACAUAUAUGCGAGUAUUUGGGUGGAAAACCCUUAUGCGCAAUGAAAGUGAAGGCGCCCUAGGCGCUGAGGUAGGAACCUGCAUCUUCGGGUGUAGGGGCACUAUCGACCGAUCGUCACUUGUGAUAGAUUUGAGUAUGAGCAUAUCUGUUGGGACCCGAAAGAUGGUGAUCUAUGCCUGAACAGGGCGAAGCCAGGGGAAACUCUGGUGGAGGCUCGUAGCGAUACUGACGUGCAAAUCGUUCGUCUGAUUUGGGUAUAGGGGCGAAAGACUAACCGAACCAUCUAGUAGCUGGUUCCCUC